RNAcentral lists this small RNA (451 nucleotides) under Pongo abelii (Sumatran orangutan). RNAcentral describes it as "retained intron". Lineage: Eukaryota; Metazoa; Chordata; Mammalia; Primates; Hominidae. The record is from RNAcentral.
UUUUUAGUAUGUGGAUUCUGAGAGUAUUAAUCAAUUUUUUAUAAUGUUUGGUUUCCUUAUGUUUUCUAUUUCAGAGUACCCGAGUGGCCUUGGACCAUCUGGAGUCUGUGCCUGAGAAACUGAGCCUACUAGAAGAUUUCAAAGACUUCAGAGAUUCCUGCAGUUCAUCUGAGAGAACUGAUGGAAGAUAUUCUAAAUACAGCGUUCGCAGAAAUUCUCUUCAGUAUCACCAAGAUGACACCAACUACAGAACCAAAAGUUUCAAAGUAAUGUUCUUUAUAUACUUCUUUAGUCUUUAAGUAGUAUCCAUGUUUAAGGCUACAACCUCUUAAGCAGCCUCUGCAGUGUUUGUGUAAGGGCACUUGUGAAAGAAAAUAUUUUCCUUGAUAUAUUAAAUAGACUUUCAAUUCUGUGGAAAUAGAGAAUAAAAAUCCAGAGUUUGUGCCUAUCA